CAUGCAAGUGGAGCGACGAACCAGGCUUCGGCCUGGGGCAGAGCCGCGAACGGGUGAGUAACACGUGGGUAACCUGCCUCGAUGACCGGGACAACCCGGGGAAACCCGGGCUAAUACCGGAUGUGCUCUCCCCGCACAAGCGGGGAAUGGAAAGGAAGCUUCGGCCUCCGCAUCGAGAUGGGCCCGCGGCCCAUUAGCUUGUUGGUGAGGUAACGGCUCACCAAGGCUAAGACGGGUAGCUGGUCUGAGAGGACGACCAGCCACACUGGAACUGAGACACGGUCCAGACACCUACGGGUGGCAGCAGUCGAGAAUUUUUCUCAAUGGGCGCAAGCCUGAAGGAGCGACGCCGCGUGUGGGAUGAAGGGUUUCGAUCCGUAAACCACUGUCAUUUGUGAACAAUGGUUGCUAUUUAAAAGAUGGUAACUUGAUAGUAAUGAAAAAGGAAGGGACGGCUAACUCUGUGCCAGCAGCCGCGGUAAUACAGAGGUCCCAAGCGUUGUUCGGAUUCACUGGGCGUAAAGGGUGCGUAGGUGGCAUGGUAAGUUUGAUGUGAAAGCUCAGGGCUCAACCCUGAAAUGGCAUUGAAUACUACGGUGCUGGAGGUUUGGAGGGGGGACUGGAAUUCUUGGUGUAGCAGUGAAAUGCGUAGAUAUCAAGAGGAACACCAGUGGCGAACGCGAGUCCCUGGACAACACCUGACACUG
Molecule: ribosomal RNA, 707 nt
Filed under: uncultured bacterium
Lineage: Bacteria
Description: bacterial SSU rRNA
Rfam family: Bacterial small subunit ribosomal RNA
Source: RNAcentral